Molecule: long non-coding RNA, 527 nt
Organism: Hippoglossus stenolepis (Pacific halibut)
Lineage: Eukaryota; Metazoa; Chordata; Actinopteri; Pleuronectiformes; Pleuronectidae
Exons: 3
Source: RefSeq, a predicted model, not a curated record
CCCUGGCCUGUCUUUAUCUCCCCAUCUCUGCAGCCGGUCAGUGACCAUUCUUGACUGCAGCUCUCGCAGCAACACACCUCCACAGAACCCCAGCUCUCCUCUGUCAGACAUGCCAGACUGCAACGAGGCCGCGCCAGCAUCAUGCCAGGUUAUCAAGGAAGACGUGGACAAAUGUGUCAGAGAGAGGAGAGUGGAAGACUGUAAAGAUCUGAUUGAUGCCUUCCAGGCCUGUAUAAAGACCCUGUCGGAGGGGUCAUAAUGCAUGAGGAAAUGCAUAUUGAUGAAAACUUCAGAGUCGUUCACUCUCUCAGCACUUCCUUGUUUAUUGUAUUGGACCCAACCAUGUGAAAAACUGAGGAGGGGGUCGAUGAUGAUACUGGAAUUCAAAUAUAUGCUCCUGUGAAUGUGAAUGUUCCUUUCAUAAAUGUUAUAAUUCCGUUAUGGACAAUGCCCUGACAUUGACAAUUGAUGCACUGUAAUUCUUAAUGCACAAACACACACAAUAUAAUAAAUGUUAUAACACACAG